RNAcentral lists this long non-coding RNA (481 nucleotides) under Malus domestica (apple). RNAcentral describes it as "long non-coding RNA (MDOM_LNC007492)". Lineage: Eukaryota; Viridiplantae; Streptophyta; Magnoliopsida; Rosales; Rosaceae. The record is from RNAcentral.
CUGAUCAUAGGAUUGCCAAUUGGGCAUUGACAGUCCGUUAAGAUCAGUACGUACUGUGUCUUCUCUCAAGGAGAGUGACUAGUCUCGAGUCAUUGGUGUGUGUGACAUCAAGACAAGUACGUAGGUGCUCAAUAGAGAAUAAGUUCACUGAACACGAUCAACGAAGACUUCUCAUAUUCAUGUCACAUGAGAACUCAUGGUUGGGAUAAUGCAAAGUAGUCAUUUGACCUGAGGCAUCGUCGUUGUCUUGUGGUUAAGUCCUUGAUCUUUGAUUAUGUCAAACAUCAUUCCAUUGGAGUGUCCACGGCAUCGUUGGGGUUAAGCCACUUAGCCAUGGAGGCAAGUGAAUGCGCAACAAGGGAUCUCUAACCUUCAAACUGUUUGAGGGAGAAUACUCUAUGAUAUGAUUAGAAUCUCUGGCCAGAGUAUGAAUGAGAUUUAGGAAUGCGUUCCAAAUCACAUUCAAGGUAAUCAUAUAAGC